Molecule: ribosomal RNA, 468 nt
Filed under: uncultured bacterium
Lineage: Bacteria
Description: partial 16S ribosomal RNA
Rfam family: Bacterial small subunit ribosomal RNA
Source: RNAcentral
GACGAACGCUGGCGGCGUGCUUAACACAUGCAAGUCGAACGGAAAGGCCCUGCUUUUGUGGGGUGCUCGAGUGGCGAACGGGUGAGUAACACGUGAGUAACCUGCCCUUGACUUUGGGAUAACUUCAGGAAACUGGGGCUAAUACCGGAUAGGAGCUCCUGCUGCAUGGUGGGGGUUGGAAAGUUUCGGCGGUUGGGGAUGGACUCGCGGCUUAUCAGCUUGUUGGUGGGGUAGUGGCUUACCAAGGCUUUGACGGGUAGUCGGCCUGAGAGGGUGACCGGCCACAUUGGGACUGAGACACGGCCCAGACUCCUACGGGAGGCAGCAGUGGGGAAUAUUGCACAAUGGGCGGAAGCCUGAUGCAGCAACGCCGCGUGCGGGAUGACGGCCUUCGGGUUGUAAACCGCUUUCGCCUGUGACGAAGCGUGAGUGACGGUAAUGGGUAAAGAAGUACCGGCUAACUACGUG